Molecule: ribosomal RNA, 440 nt
Filed under: uncultured bacterium
Lineage: Bacteria
Description: partial 16S ribosomal RNA
Rfam family: Bacterial small subunit ribosomal RNA
Source: RNAcentral
CCUACGGGAGGCAGCAGUGGGGAAUCUUUCACAAUGGGGGAAACCCUGAUGCAGCAACGCCGCGUGAAUGAUGACGGCCUUCGGGUUGUAAAGCUCUGUUUUCAGGGACGAUAAUGACGGUACCUUAGGAGUAAGCCACGGCUAACUACGUGCCAGCAGCCGCGGUAAUACGUAGGUGGCGAGCGUUGUCCGGAUUUACGGGGCGUAAAGAGAGCGUAGGCGGGCUUUUAAGUGAGAUGGUAAAUACUCGGGCUAAACUUUAGUGCUAUAUUUCAAACUGGAAUUCUAGAGUGCAGGAGAGGAGAAUGGAAUUCCUAGUGUAGCGGUGAAAUGCGUAGAGAUUAGGAAGAACACCAGUGGCGAAGGCGAUUCUCUGGACUGGAACUGACGCUGAGGCUCGAAAGCGUAGGGAGCAAACAGGAUUAGAUACCCGAGUAGUC